RNAcentral lists this ribosomal RNA (253 nucleotides) under uncultured bacterium. RNAcentral describes it as "partial 16S ribosomal RNA". It matches the Rfam family "Bacterial small subunit ribosomal RNA", at positions 524 to 776 of the family's 1533-position model. The record is from RNAcentral.
GACGAACCGUGCGACCGUUGUUCGGAAUCACUGGGCUUAAAGGGCGCGUAGGCGGGUUUGCAAGUCUGCGGUGAAAGCCCCCAGCUUAACUGGGGAAGUGCCGUGGAUACUGCGGACCUUGAGGAGGGUAGGGGCAUCUGGAACAUUGGGUGGAGCGGUGAAAUGCGUUGAUAUCCAAUGGAACUCCGGUGGCGAAGGCGAGGUGCUGGCCCUCCACUGACGCUGAGGCGCGAAAGCCAGGGGAGCAAACGGG